GCGCACCCGGCGCGAAUCCUUCGCAAUGCGGGAAACCGCGACGAGGGGACUCCCAGUGCCUACGCUCAGCGUAGGCUGUUCCCGAGCCUAGAAAGCUCGGGGAGUAAGGGCUGGGUAAGACGGGUGCCAGCCGCCGCGGUAAUACCCGCAGCCCGAGUGGUGGCCACUAUUAUUGGGCCUAAAGCGUCCGUAGCCGGCCCGGUAAAUGCCUGGGUAAAUCGUGAGGCCUAACCUCACGAAUUCCGGGUAGACUGCCAGGCUAGGGACCGGAGGAGGGAGAGGGUACUCCAGGGGUAGGGGUGAAAUUCUGUAAUCCCUGGAGGACCACCGGUGGCGAAGGCGCUCUCCUAGGACGGGUCCGACGGUGAGGGACGAAAGCCAGGGGAGCGAACCGGAUUAGA
Molecule: ribosomal RNA, 401 nt
Filed under: uncultured microorganism
Description: bacterial SSU rRNA
Rfam family: Archaeal small subunit ribosomal RNA
Source: RNAcentral